UCGUUUUCCCUCCUUCUCACUCUGCCCUCUCAACUCGACCUAGAACCCGUGAAACUGAAAAACUCAAAACACUAGCCUCUUUCCUCCUCAUCAGCUCUCUCAGAUCUCGAUUCUCACUCUCUCCUUCAUCUUCUCACUCCCUCGAUUCUCCUUCUUAGUCUCUCCUUCUUCUUCUUAGUCUCUACUUCAUCUUUCGCGUCCAGAUUGUUGGAGCUCUCCAGCAACCAGUAAAGUUGUUUUCGAUUCGGAUUAUAGAUGGCUUAUAUUCAAAAAGGAGUUUGACAGCAGCUAUGUGAGAUUUAUGAAGGAUGGAGCUAAGUGCUUGGUAGAGAACACUGAAAUCCUUUUUUGUUAUGCAGCUAUCUCAAGUGGCUAGAUUUGUGAAAUACAAAGUGGGUGUUAGCAAUUGGAAUUUGAUUUGUUGUAGCAGUUGAUUGGCUUUAUUAGCUGCUGAAACCCAAGGCUUGAGGAAUUGAUUACUUAUAUGCUGCUGCAUAUGAUGAUUUGAUUCCAUCUCACCUUGUUUUGCUAGAGGGCAGGGGAAACUUGGUGGUACAAAAUGAUUUGCGAAGGAAGGCUCACUGCUAGUAGUGUAGUGGAGAAAAACAGAAGGCUUGUUUGUCUAAAUUUUUGGUGAGUCUUCAAUGUUUGUGCUCUAUACAUAUAUGUAUUCAGCAACUAGCUAAUUAUCCUUUUGUUCAUAUCUUUGCCUACACAUAAUAAUUAUAUGUUUACUGCUAUCUAGUUGAGUAUAAUCAUAAGCUCAUUUUAAUUCCUUGAUAGAAUAUUGUAUUUGUAUAAUAAAAGUAUGAGCAUGGUAUGCAAUCUGAACAUUAGAUUUGGCAUGGAUCGAUGUAAUUGUUGCAGCUACAUGUAAAUGAACUUGUAUGUGAUAAGACCACUCUUAGCAGUGCUAGUCUUAACAAGUAUAUUGUAUAGUAAAAGUAUGAGCAUGUUAAGCAAUGUUACUUUAAGAAUCAGCAUGUAUUUGAGUGUGUUUUGUUAUAUAUG
This 1011-nucleotide long non-coding RNA is filed under the name Rosa chinensis. Its description in RNAcentral is "sRNA RchiOBHm_Chr4g0441171". Lineage: Eukaryota; Viridiplantae; Streptophyta; Magnoliopsida; Rosales; Rosaceae. The record is from RNAcentral.